Molecule: non-coding RNA, 145 nt
Organism: Pseudonaja textilis
Lineage: Eukaryota; Metazoa; Chordata; Lepidosauria; Squamata; Elapidae
Source: RefSeq, a predicted model, not a curated record
UUAUCCAAUUUCAAUUCAUAUUAUAGCUUAUUUCAUUUUUCUUUAAAUAUUCUCAUGCCUUAUUUUACAAUAUUAUCUAAAUUCUUGUUCCAUUUCUAUACUCAUUACACAUAUUUACUUACAUCUAUGUCUUGUAUUCUAUUGU